UACGUAGGGUGCAAGCGUUAAUCGGAAUUACUGGGCGUAAAGCGUGCGCAGGCGGUUCUUUAAGACAGAUGUGAAAUCCCCGGGCUCAACCUGGGAACUGCAUUUGUGACUGUAGAGCUGGAGUGCGGCAGAGGGGGAUGGAAUUCCGCGUGUAGCAGUGAAAUGCGUAGAUAUGCGGAGGAACACCGAUGGCGAAGGCAAUCCCCUGGGCCUGCACUGACGCUCAUGCACGAAAGCGUGGGGAGCAAACAGG
RNAcentral lists this ribosomal RNA (253 nucleotides) under uncultured bacterium. RNAcentral's name for it is "partial 16S ribosomal RNA". It matches the Rfam family "Bacterial small subunit ribosomal RNA", at positions 524 to 776 of the family's 1533-position model. The record is from RNAcentral.